UUGAACGCUGGCGGCAUGCCUUACACAUGCAAGUCGAACGGCAGCACGGGAGCAAUCCUGGUGGCGAGUGGCGAACAGGUGAGUAAUAUAUCGGAACGUGCCCAGUCGUGGGGGAUAACGUAGCGAAAGCUACGCUAAUACCGCAUACGAUCUAUGGAUGAAAGCGGGGGAUCGCAAGACCUCGCGCGAUUGGAGCGGCCGAUAUCAGAUUAGGUAGUUGGUGAGGUAAAGGCUCACCAAGCCGACGAUCUGUAGCUGGUCUGAGAGGACGACCAGGCCACACUGGGACUGAGACACGGCCCAGACUCCUACGGGAGGCAGCAGUGGGGAAUUUUGGACAAUGGGCGCAAGCCUGAUCCAGCAAUGCCGCGUGCAGGAUGAAGGCCUUCGGGUUGCAAACUGCUUUUGUACGGAACGAAACGGUGAGCUCUAAUACAGUUUGCUAAUGACGGUACCGUAAGAAUAAGCACCGGCUAACUACGUG
Molecule: ribosomal RNA, 484 nt
Filed under: uncultured bacterium
Lineage: Bacteria
Description: bacterial SSU rRNA
Rfam family: Bacterial small subunit ribosomal RNA
Source: RNAcentral